This 74-nucleotide transfer RNA is filed under the name Candidatus Methanoprimaticola hominis. RNAcentral's name for it is "Methanomassiliicoccales archaeon Mx-06 tRNA-Cys". It matches the Rfam family "tRNA". From Rfam's summary of the family: Transfer RNA (tRNA) molecules are approximately 80 nucleotides in length. Lineage: Archaea; Methanobacteriati; Thermoplasmatota; Thermoplasmata; Methanomassiliicoccales; Methanomethylophilaceae. The record is from RNAcentral. RNAcentral also lists the same sequence under 2 other names.
GUCGGGGUACCACAGCGGCCAUGGGGUGGACUGCAGAUCCAUUUAUGGGGGUUCGACUCCCUCCCCCGACUCCA